Molecule: non-coding RNA, 145 nt
Organism: Caenorhabditis elegans
Lineage: Eukaryota; Metazoa; Nematoda; Chromadorea; Rhabditida; Rhabditidae
Source: Ensembl
CGUUUUACCAGAGGCAAAGGCAGCCCGGUCGUAUCCGGAAACGGAACAAAUUUCACUUGGUGCGGGCAAACUGGUCAUAUUGCUUAUUGUCAAUGAAAACUUCAGGGGUUUUUUGGGCGGUUUGCUUAAAAGUUGUUUUUUUUUU